UGUCGGCUCUCCACCAGCCGGCGCGAAUACCGAAGAGGCUUGUCCUUCAUUGCCAGGUGUGCGGGCGGGAGCUCUCCCAACCAAUCCACGGCAGCACAUCCGGUUCUCGAAAACCGGCCAUGGUCGCGUCUCCAUCGUGCGACAUGGCAGGCUUUCCU
This is a regulatory RNA element of 158 nucleotides. It matches the Rfam family "speF leader". Rfam says of the family: This family is a putative regulatory RNA structure that is found upstream of the speF gene encoding ornithine decarboxylase in Agrobacterium tumefaciens and other alpha-proteobacteria. The record is from Rfam.